This 75-nucleotide transfer RNA is filed under the name Anadara kagoshimensis. RNAcentral describes it as "tRNA-Phe". Lineage: Eukaryota; Metazoa; Mollusca; Bivalvia; Arcoida; Arcidae. The record is from RNAcentral.
CCUAUUGUGUUUAGGUGUAGAUUAUAUAUUUGAAAAAAAUAUUUAUUUUAUAGGUUUUAAUUGCCUUUGAAAGGU